RNAcentral lists this ribosomal RNA (260 nucleotides) under uncultured bacterium. Its description in RNAcentral is "partial small subunit ribosomal RNA". It matches the Rfam family "Bacterial small subunit ribosomal RNA", at positions 26 to 285 of the family's 1533-position model. The record is from RNAcentral.
AGGAUGAACGCUAGCGGCAGGCCUAAUACAUGCAAGUCGGACGGGAUUGGAGAGCUUGCUUUCCAUGAGAGUGGCGCACGGGUGCGUAACACGUAUGUAACCUACCCUUGUCAGGGGGAUAGCCUCUCGAAAGAGAGAUUAAGACCGCAUAACAUUGUAAUGUGGCAUCACAAAACAAUCAAAUAUUUAUAGGACAAGGAUGGGCAUGCGGAACAUUAGCUAGUUGGUAAGGUAAAGGCUUACCAAGGCUACGAUGUUUA